This 250-nucleotide ribosomal RNA is filed under the name uncultured bacterium. RNAcentral describes it as "partial 16S ribosomal RNA". It matches the Rfam family "Bacterial small subunit ribosomal RNA", at positions 524 to 776 of the family's 1533-position model. The record is from RNAcentral.
GACAGAGGGUGCAAACGUUGUUCGGAAUUACUGGGCGUAAAGCGCGUGUAGGCGGCCCUGCAAGUCGGAUGUGAAAUCCCACGGCUCAACCGUGGAAGUGCAUUCGAAACUGCAGGGCUAGAGUCCUGGAGAGGAAGGUGGAAUGCUUGGUGUAGAGGUGAAUUCGUAGAUAUCAAGCGGAACACCGGUGGCGAAGGCGGCCUUCUGGACAGUGACUGACGCUGAGACGCGAAAGCGUGGGAGCAACAGG